This 118-nucleotide ribosomal RNA is filed under the name Pteropus alecto (black flying fox). The record is from RNAcentral. Lineage: Eukaryota; Metazoa; Chordata; Mammalia; Chiroptera; Pteropodidae.
GUCUACGGCCACGCCACCCUGAACGUGCCCGAUUCCGUCUGAUCUCGGAAGCUAAGCAGGGUCGGCCUGGUUAGUACUUGGAUGGGAGACCACCUAGGAAGACCAGGUGCUGUAGGCA